RNAcentral lists this ribosomal RNA (712 nucleotides) under uncultured bacterium. Its description in RNAcentral is "bacterial SSU rRNA". It matches the Rfam family "Bacterial small subunit ribosomal RNA", at positions 66 to 755 of the family's 1533-position model. The record is from RNAcentral.
ACGCGAAAGUCCCCUUCGGGGGACGAGUAGAGUGGCGUCCGGGUGAGUAACACGUGAGUAAUUUGCCUUCGGGUGGGGAAUAACAGCCGGAAACGGCUGCUAAUACCGCAUGAUGCAGCGGCACCUCAUGGUGACAGUUGUUAAAGAGGGGGAUCCUUCGGGACCUCUCGCCUGAAGAGAAGCUCGCGGCAGAUUAGCUAGUUGGUAGGGUAACGGCCUACCAAGGCAACGAUCUGUAGCCGGCCUGAGAGGGCGGUCGGCCACACUGACACUGACACACGGGUCAGACUCCUACGGGAGGCAGCAGUCGGGAAUUUUGGGCAAUGGGCGAAAGCCUGACCCAGCAACGCCGCGUGAAGGAUGAAGUUUUUCGGAAUGUAAACUUCACAAGAAUGGGAAGAAUAAGUCGGGGUUAAUACCCCCGAUGAUGACGGUACCAUUUGUAAGCUCCGGCUAACUCCGUGCCAGCAGCCGCGGUAAUACGGGGGGAGCAAGCGUUGUUCGGAUUUACUGGGCGUAAAGGGCGCGUAGGCGGCGCAACAAGUCACUUGUGAAAUCUCCGGGCUUAACCCGGAGCGGUCAAGUGAUACUGUCGUGCUAGAGUGCGGAAGGGGCAACUGGAAUUCUCGGUGUAGCGGUGAAAUGCGUAGAUAUCGAGAGGAACACCUGCGGCGAAGGCGGGUUGCUGGGCCGACACUGACGCUGAGGCGCG